Molecule: ribosomal RNA, 492 nt
Filed under: uncultured bacterium
Lineage: Bacteria
Description: partial 16S ribosomal RNA
Rfam family: Bacterial small subunit ribosomal RNA
Source: RNAcentral
AGUGAACGCUGGCGGUAGGCCUAACACAUGCAAGUCGAACGGCAGCACAGUAAGAUCUUGCUCUUACGGGUGGCGAGUGGCGGACGGGUGAGGAAUACAUCGGAAUCUACUUUUUCGUGGGGGAUAACGUAGGGAAACUUACGCUAAUACCGCAUACGACCUACGGGUGAAAGCAGGGGAUCUUCGGACCUUGCGCGAUUGAAUGAGCCGAUGUCGGAUUAGCUAGUUGGCGGGGUAAAGGCCCACCAAGGCGACGAUCCGUAGCUGGUCUGAGAGGAUGAUCAGCCACACUGGAACUGAGACACGGUCCAGACUCCUACGGGAGGCAGCAGUGGGGAAUAUUGGACAAUGGGCGCAAGCCUGAUCCAGCCAUACCGCGUGGGUGAAGAAGGCCUUCGGGUUGUAAAGCCCUUUUGUUGGGAAAGAAAAGAAGCAGGUUAAUACCCCGCUGUUCUGACGGUACCCAAAGAAUAAGCACCGGCUAACUUCGCG